Long non-coding RNA from Schistocerca serialis cubense, 607 nucleotides. RefSeq lists it as uncharacterized. The record is from RefSeq and is a predicted model, not a curated record. The transcript has 3 exons. NCBI's taxonomy places the organism in Eukaryota, Metazoa, Arthropoda, Insecta, Orthoptera, Acrididae.
AAACCGCUCCCACACCCCGACCGCUCUGUCUGUUUGCUCAGGUGCCAAAGUAUGUUAAACCAACCACGUCUUUUUAAAGCCGUUACAGUGAUUGUCUGCUGCAAACAACUAGUUCGGAAAAUAUAGCGUGUCCAUAAUUAAAGCUGUGUGAUGAGCCGAACCAUUCGCCCUGUUUUGAGAUCUGGCACUCUGAAGGUCUCACUCAGCUGUUGAUUUUCGUCUAUGAUGCCACUCCAAGGAAACAAAUGGAUCAUCCUGAGAAACAAAGAUACCAUCCAAUGAUACACCUCAUCAGAAACAACUAACAGGAAAAAGUAUUGAUCUUUGGAAACUUCAGCUACAGAUGCACCUUGUCAGAAACAACUAAAAGGAAAAAGUAUUGAACUUUGGAAACUUCAGCAUGUAUAAUCAGUAUUUCAUGAUUUUGAAAAUAUGGCAGAGUGCCUCAGGAUUUUUAACAAAAUACAUACAAAAUUAAGGACGAUUACUGUAAAUAUGUAAACAGCAAAAUUUUGUGCAUUAUCUAUAGAAAUAUUAGUCAUGCUCAUGAAAAGUAGGCAGCAAAAAAAAAAAAUCACAAAACUGGAAAACAAUGUAUUAUUGAAAG